UAGGGAAUAUUAGUAAUGGGCGAAAGCCUGAACUAGCAACGCCGCGUGUGCGAAGAAGGCCUUCGGGUUGUAAAGCACUUUUUGAGAGGAUGAGGAAGGACGGUACUCUCAGAAUAAGUCUCGGCUAACUACGUGCCAGCAGCCGCGGUAACACGCAGGAGGCAAACGUUAUCCGGAUUUACUGGGCGCAAAGCGCGUGUAGGUGGUUUGGUAAGUAGGGCGUGAAAGCUCCUGGCUCAACUGGGAGAGGCCGUUCUAAACUGCCGAACUAGAGGAUGGUAGAGGGAGGUGGAAUUCCGGGUGUAGCGGUGGAAUGCGCAGAUAUCCGGAGGAACACCAGUGGCGAAAGCGGCCUCCUGGACCAUUCCUGACACUCAGACGCGAAAGCUAGGGUAGCAAACGG
This 403-nucleotide ribosomal RNA is filed under the name uncultured bacterium. RNAcentral's name for it is "bacterial SSU rRNA". It matches the Rfam family "Bacterial small subunit ribosomal RNA", at positions 355 to 775 of the family's 1533-position model. The record is from RNAcentral.